CGCUGGCGGCGUGCCUAAUACAUGCAAGUCGAACGGUCUUUUCUAUGGAAGCUUGCUUCCACUGAGAAGAUAGUGGCGAACGGGUGAGUAACACGUGGGUAACCUGCCCAUAAGAGGGGGAUAACAUCCGGAAACGGGUGCUAAUACCGCAUAGUUUUCUUGAUCGCAUGAUUGAGAAAGGAAAGAUGGCCUUUGUGCUGUCGCUUAUGGAUGGACCCGCGGCGUAUUAGUUAGUUGGUGAGGUAACGGCUCACCAAGACGAUGAUACGUAGCCGACCUGAGAGGGUGAUCGGCCACAUUGGGACUGAGACACGGCCCAAACUCCUACGGGAGGCAGCAGUAGGGAAUCUUCCGCAAUGGACGAAAGUCUGACGGAGCAACGCCGCGUGAGUGAAGAAAGGUUUUCGGAUCGUAAAACUCUGUUGUCAGAGAAGAACAAGUUGGAGAGUAACUGCUCCAGCCUUGACGGUAUCUGACCAGAAAGCCACGGCUAACUACGUGCCAGCCGCUGC
Molecule: ribosomal RNA, 512 nt
Filed under: uncultured bacterium
Lineage: Bacteria
Description: bacterial SSU rRNA
Rfam family: Bacterial small subunit ribosomal RNA
Source: RNAcentral